UUCCAGUUCCUGUGUUUUUUGCUGCGUGCGUUCGUUUUAAUCUGGUAAAUUAGGGUUCGUGGCGUGUAUAGAGUAUAGAAGUGGAAGGGAUCGCGAUCGAUCGGCGAGGCUGUGAGGAGCAGGAGGAGAGGAGCUUUGUAGCUUGUACAAAGAUCGAGGCGAUGUGUGUCACUGCGUUGACAUGGUUUGAUCCGUGCCCGUAUAUGGAGAAACUUCAUCCCUUGUUCACUGAGAACCUCUUUGUUUUCUCAUAACGGUACUACUACUAGUACUCCCUCCGUCCGAAAAUAUUGUUAUCAAAAUGGAUAAAAAAAAUGUAUUUAGAACUAAAAUACAUCUAGAUACAUCCCCUUUUAUUUAUUUUGAUGACAAGUAUUUCCGAUCGAAGGGAGUAGUACUUUAGCGGUAGUACUUAUAUUACAGUGGGUUCAUCUCUGACAGAUUGACCGGUUGCCGUCGCAAGUUAAAUGUCAGCAGUCCAGGUCCGGGUAUCACGUCUUUGACCAACAGCAAGUAGAGUAUCUGAUAUCUUGAACACUGUGUAUUGAAUUCGAAAAUUUGUGGAGCUCUCAUUAUAACAUUUCCCCUUCUGAACAUUUGCUUGAAUUGGACACUUUCUCUUGUGCUCCCAAGUUGUGAUUCGAAUUCAUAUAAAGUAUAAAGGCUAAUUUUUUAAC
Molecule: long non-coding RNA, 677 nt
Filed under: Triticum aestivum (bread wheat)
Lineage: Eukaryota; Viridiplantae; Streptophyta; Magnoliopsida; Poales; Poaceae
Description: long non-coding RNA (TAES_LNC001202)
Rfam family: MIR1120/MIR1122 microRNA precursor family (bases 266-398)
Source: RNAcentral